This 413-nucleotide long non-coding RNA is filed under the name Erythranthe guttata (spotted monkey flower). RNAcentral describes it as "long non-coding RNA (EGUT_LNC000828)". Lineage: Eukaryota; Viridiplantae; Streptophyta; Magnoliopsida; Lamiales; Phrymaceae. The record is from RNAcentral.
GCCUCACCUCCCUCCAUAUCCUCAGCCUCCGCUUCGCUCCACCACUCCAACAGUUUCUCCGACGAAAUUCGGUUCGGAUUGGAGCUAAGAUUCAAGCUCAUUAUUCUUCUGCAAAACCCAUCAACAACCCGUGAAACUCCAAGAAAAUAUCUGCCCUCAUCGAAAACAGAGUUUUUCGGAGAAAAAAAUCCAAGAAAAAAACUAUUUAUGCAAGAUGCAUGAUGCCUCCGGAUCCAAACAUUCCCGUUGUUUUUCUGCUUUUUAUCGUCUUCUCCGACGAUGGCGGCAAUUAAGGCUUCGGUGGUGGUGGCAAUUAGAGCUUUGGCUGGAGUUUAGUAAUUUUACUAGGCUCGCUAAGAUUCUAGAAUUUGCAAAAGAAGAAUCGACUGGUGUGGAACUGGCAAGAAGAAGUU